This 212-nucleotide ribosomal RNA is filed under the name uncultured bacterium. RNAcentral's name for it is "partial 16S ribosomal RNA". It matches the Rfam family "Bacterial small subunit ribosomal RNA", at positions 1288 to 1500 of the family's 1533-position model. The record is from RNAcentral.
UCAGUUCGGAUUGAAGGCUGAAAUUCGCCUUCAUGAAGCCGGAAUUGCUAGUAAUGGCAGGUCAGCAUACUGCCGUGAAUACGUUCCCGGGCCCUUGUACACACCGCCCGUCACACCAUGAGAGUUGGGAAUACCCGAAGCCUGUGAGCUAACGUAAGAGGCAGCAGUCGAAGGUAGAAUCAAUGAUUGGGGUGAAGUCGUAACAAGGUAAC